This 12919-nucleotide long non-coding RNA is filed under the name Podarcis lilfordi (Lilford's wall lizard). The record is from RNAcentral. Lineage: Eukaryota; Metazoa; Chordata; Lepidosauria; Squamata; Lacertidae.
CCUUUGUCAUCAUCCGCGGCAAAAAGCCCAACCCAGGUCCAUCUGAAAUGCUGUAGUAACUGCACAAUUCCUUUGUGCUGCUGGGCUUCAUUGGGGACCAUCUGGUACAAGAAUGGGAAUAGAAUUUCUGCACUUUGUAAAGGUAAAAAUGAUCCAUAAGUGAGCUGUAAUAAAAUCCAUGAAUAUUUCUCAGACAGAUUACAAGAAAAUAGUAAAUCAUUACUUUGGAGUUGGUCCUGUAGGUCAUCUAGUUCUAUAUCCUUUUGAAAACACGAAUCACAGUUUCUGCAACAAAUAGCUGUUUCAUUUGUUUUAUAAUUGAAGAACGUUUAGUCCGAAUUUUGAACCCUAAACAAGUACUACAUUUGCAGCAAUAGAAGCUUUGUCCUCUUCGAUGUGGCAACUGCUUAAGUCUUUGAAGUGUGUUGUAAUGUUGCACCUUGGACUCAAUUUCAAGAGACUGAACGUACCAAUUUCUUUCAACCUUUCCUUAUAUGAUAUGUUUUCCAUACCCCAAUGUCUCUAUGAAGGCCAUGUCCCAUACUGACCCUGUUCAAGCUGCCUGUCUAAAUAGUGUAUUUGUACCGUGAUGAUGCCUAAGCCUGUUAGAGGUGGAAAUAGUUGUGUGUUCUCUGGGUGUAAAAACUGCUUGCUCUUGUGUUUCUGGAAUAUAAUGGAAUGUUCAAAGGUAAGAGUCACAUCUCUUGAUCCCUGCAAUCUUUUGCCUCUGUUCCCGCACCCCUGACAUUAAUCCCUAGAAGUUUCCAUAAAGUGAAAAAGUGUUCCUGCCCACCCCCUGCCCAUGAUCCAAAAGACUGCAGACACAUUUUCCUUUAAUCAUGAUCGUGUACCACUAUUGUAAAAAUAAAUCCAUACCCCUAUGCACACAGUUUACCUGUGGUGUCUUGUGGAUUGCUGAAAUGAUGGCCACGUUGGCAGAGAUUUCAGAGAUGCAUCCUCCAACAACAGCUAUCAAAUUGUUCUGAUUCUGACACUUGAAGUUAGGAUAAAAUCUUUGCUGUUUAGAAAGCAGACUUAGAGUGGCCUUAUACGUCAUCCUAGCAGUGUAGUAGCUAUUAAGAAUGUGGAUUCCCAGAGAAAUGUUUGGUAAGAUGUUGGGGUUUUCAUUUAUCUCUUUUACAGCAAAGGCUAAGGCCAGGAUGUGCUGGUAGUUCUUGGGCACUGAACUGUAAUGUAAGUUACAGCUAUUUCAUAAAUCAACAGUGACAGAAGCAAUAAAAGCACAUUUGAAUUAUUCAUUUGUCAUCUGUAUCUGUUCAAGACUACAGUGAAGAAAACAUACCUCAAAGUAUAAUGGGGGUGGGGGAAUAUCUCAAGUGAAGAACUAAAUGCUCAAAAUGUUUUGGGGUCAUGCUUUUUAUUAAUAAACUGAGGAAAAGGGGGAAAGGACAUGGUGUCUUACAUAGGUUCUCCAAUCAUAUUCUGUGUAGGCUGUUCCAGGAAAGAAAGUACAUUAUACAAGAAGAAAACUUGAGAAACAAUCCCACCAAUCACAAGGUCCCCUGCCUGGUAGAAUUCAUGAGGAAUAGGAAGAGGAUCAUCACGUAUGCUGCAAUUAAUGAAAUGUGACUUGCAUACAGUAUGACACAACAGUAUAAGCAGCAACACCAUCACUGUCAUGAUCCUGUUGGCAAAAUGACCCCACCAAAUCUCAGUUCGCAUAGUACCCUCUAUAUGUUGCAUUGCAUUUGCUACAGCGUCAGUCAAAUCGUAGAUAAUCCUCUGGUUGCACUGAUUUACAGCUUGGCUCGUUAUGGAAUUUGGGUGCCAAUACCCUUGUGUUCUAGUUCAGGGCUUCUCAAAUUGUUGUUUGUGGACCACCAGUGGUCUGCUUGCUUAGUUCAGGCUGUCCACAGCAUGUCUGUAAAGAGCAAUUAGAAUUCUAUAGAAUUCAUGCUGUAAUGCAAUAAAAUACAGGAUUCAAAAUAAAAGAAGCAAUAGCAUACCAUUUAAAAUUACACAGCCUGCAAAGUGGUCAGCAAAGAACCUCAACAAUUUUUAUGUUCUCCAUGGCAGGACCACUGUCCUAUUUAAUAUUGUUUAUAUGUUCUCUGUGUGAGCUGGAUAAAUUAGUGGAAUGUGACUCCCACUGAUAUCAGUGGGUCUCAUAUAGUCUAGAUCCAAGUCUUUAUCUUCUCACUUUAUUUUGUAUGGUUGUUUUGUUUUUGUUUUUAGAAAAAAAGAAUAAAUCAGCUUGUGGAAAUAUAUCCACUUAUAUCCAUAUAAGUAAGAGAUUUUUAACAGAAGAGUGACAGAGCCCUGCCUCUACCUAGAUCUAAUUCUGAAGAAUACAAGUGUUUUAUAGCUUUUCUUCAGACACUUGCUAACAUGCACUGAAUGUCAAUUGCAUAAACCAGUAAUUUUGACAGGUAUGAUUAUCAUUCCCCAGUGUGUUAUUGAUGUGAUGUUCUAUCAUGAACAACAAAACUGAUAGAAUAUUUCCUCCCCAUUCUUCUUUUUUGCAUCAUACAUAUUAUUAUUAUUAUUAUUAUUAUUAUUAUUAUUAUUAUUAUUAUUUUGCUUGAGGGAUAAUAAGUAGGGAUAAUAAGUAGCUAGUCUUGUACAGCUGGUAGAUCCAUAUCUGACCAGUACUAGGUUCAGCUUCAUACAUGGGUCAUUUAUAUUUGGGAUAACUGGAAAGCCAUGUCUGGGGAAAGGGAGAGUCACAACUUGUUGUCUUGAUAGAUAUAGUUCUCUCAACAGAUCAUUCCCAAAUAUUGUUUGCCCCAUUUAAUUUUACUGAUAGUUAAUUUAAUUAGUAAGAUUCUUUACCAAUGCAGUACUUAAAAUGUUCAUAAUUUUAGCAUAAUGCCGGUUGGUGGUAUCUGUUUCCUGGCCGAAGUGGCUGGGAGCAGGUUGCGUAAUAUGAAUUUCAGGGCCCUGCAAAAAUAUGUUUCAUGUCUUUUGACUCAGGCUAGUGACGAGCAGAGGCUCUGCUACAUUUUAAGCCAAGCUCGUUUAUCAUCUUUGCUGCCUAUGAUCCUUUGUUCUGCUCCCUGCGGGCAGGGAAGGUCCACAGAAGUUAUAUUACAGGAAUUUAAUUUUGAAGUUGCCAAUGCAUAGAUCACAGUAUCUAGGCUACUGGAAUAGUUAUAUCCAGUUGGCCCGAUGAAGAAGUUUUAAGGUGCUCCUUGCUGCUUACAUCACUUGGGCUUUCCAUUACAGAGAUGGAUCCACAACACCCCCAGACUUUGUACUUGUUCCUUCAGAAGGAGUACAACCCCCUCAGAAGAGGUAAAUCUCCCAAUCUCUAAACUUGGGAACUGAUAAACCACUGUGCCUCUGCCCUUCCAGGAUUUAACUUCUGAUAUUUGGCCUUCAGUCAGCCCACCACUGCAGCCAGAUACCUUUUUGGGGUCUGACUGGCAACUGCUGACUCUGAUGUAACAGUGGAAUAGAGCUGAGUUCCAGCAACACACUGAUGACUCCUUUCCACAUACGCCUUCUCCCUCUCAACCUUACUUAGCACCCCCUAAUUGGUGGAAGCUUACAAAACUGGCACUGGAUAUUUGUAAAGUAUUCGUGUAACCACCCACCCCCACCCAGAAUUUUAGACUAUAGUUCUGUGCUCUAGCAUAUAGCCAACAUACGAAUGACAACAGCGUUUGUUGCUGUUCCCUUGCCUCACCACUGGGAGAAGGUGAAAACCCAGACCUGUUGAGUUCUCUCCUCACAGAUCAACUUGUUUAUCCUUCAAGGAAGGCCUAACUCUCUCUUUUUGUGCUCUUACAGUUACUUCACUGCAACCCUCUUCUCCUCUCUCAUUGUCAUAACUUCUAUUACCUACCCUCUCUUUUGCCCCCACCUUUCUCCCUCUUUUUGUUUGGUCAAUAUCCAAGUCAGAUCCUCUUAUGCCUUCUCCUGGCUGGUCUAUUCCUCCUGUCUCUGGACAGCAUUCCUCAACCUUGAGUGUCAUUUUAUCUCCCAGCUGCAUUUUUAUCUCCCAACUAAAAAUAAAAUUUGAUUCUCAUACUCGACCACUGCAACUCCAAGUUGCCAGGCUUGGUGUUUGCGUGUUCCUCCUCUUUAGAAACUCCUUGAAUCCACAAUGGCUACUGUCCCCCUUCACAUAUCAGGGAGGAGAGGGAAGAAACCAACAAGAACCAUUCCAGUUGAUAUAGAGUCCUGCUCUGGUACAUUAUUUUUACAUACCUUGCAGUCUUUGGGGUCUUUCCUCUCUGAAUUACUUCAAACAACUCUCCUCAGAACUCUACUCAAAGAAAGCCCCUCCACCUCAUAUGGCAGUCCCUAAAAGACAAAUGGGACUGUGCUCUGGAAACCCCCAAAGUGAAUUUUGAGUAGUGCUUAUAUUAUAGGAACGGUCAUUGAAUUAUUAUCUGAAUUGAAGUAAGUGAGGGUUAUUUUACUGAUAGAUAAAAUCUCCAUUUCAUGAUUUUUAUUAUUUUAAAAUUCACUUUUGGCUGUGCAUUUCCCAGAGCUCUUCCCAGAGCUUUUAAAUUAGUUUUGUACUUUUAAAUCAUCCACGAAAAAGCAGCACCUUAUAAUUUCAAGGGGGGGGGGAGACAGUACCCGAAUAUAAACCGCUCUCUUGAAAUUCCACAGGCACUCACAGCCUUAAAUGGCAAAUAUAGAAGAAAAUACUAUGGGUACCACAGAGGCCCCACAAGGUACUACAGAGGACCCGCAAGUGGGUUAAAAACCUUUUUCGUAGCACCGUAAAAGCAAAUAAAAAAAUCAAUACCCUGUUACCUUGGUUGUCGAACUUAAUGUGUUCCAGGAGCCCAUUCUGCUUCUGAAACAUUCAACAACCAAGGCUCAAUGGUCGGCAAGCCCCAUUGAGAAAAAAGAGAAACAUGAUCCAAGGGAAAAGGGAGAGAGUGCACCUCUCCUUGUGUAUAUAUGGCCCGGCAAAGGCAAAUGGGAGGAGGGGAGGCUGAGGAGGGGUGGUCCUGCUUGCCCCCAAAUCUGUUGCAGGCAGGGGAAAUGACUGGGAUCCAGGAUCAUCCAACCUCGUGAAGGGGAUGAGUCAUUGAUGGCAGGGAGGGGAAGGAAGGGCACGCCCCCACGCAGCUCCAUGGAAUGAGAUGGGGCAAAUUCCACUUCCAAAAUCUGGGAGCCUCCCUCUUGAAUUCCUAGCCAGGCUUUUGGACCCCUGCUGCAUCCAUAAGGAAGAUGGAGGGAGGAAGGGAUCCAGGUCUGUGCGGUUGUGGGAACUUAUGUCCAAAAAGAACCUGUGGUGGCAUGGAAGGAGGAUUGAGAGGAGAUGCCAUCUGACACACACCUGCCCCUGCCCCAUAAUUAAAACUGAAAUGGCUAGUGUGGCAAGGCACAUUGAGAAAAAAGAGAAACAUUUGGAAAUGGAAGCAGUUGCUUCCGGGUUGUUAGAGUUCGGGAGCCAAAAGUUUCAGCUUCUGAGAUGUUUGGCUUCCAAGGUUCCACUAUACUGCACUGUAAAAUAAGGUAAAAGCAAUGAAUGACAUUAGAAUUAAUUGCACAACAGUCUCAAGCUCACAAAUUGGCAAUAAAACAUUUUUUGGUUCCGUUUUACCAUAUGACUGUUCCAGCAGCAAUAUUGUAAAAACCAAUUUUUAUAACGUCGUGAAUUUAAGUCACACUUAAAAUUUUCAUGGUCAGAAUUUCGGGGGGGGGGGGACUGCGGCUUAUAUUUGGGCCAAUACGGUAAGUCAUAGGGCUCCCUCUUCUGGUGGUUUACCCUUAGUUUGACUCUGUGCAGACGGGCAGGAGUCAAGAUAUAGUUGGGCUUCAGCAAAUGCCUAAGCCGAACCGCUCACAUCUGUAACCAAUAAAGUUGUUGCCUGUUUUAGUCCCUUAACCUAAAUACACGUGUCUCUGUGUUAACAACAACAACAACAACAACUUAUUAUUUAUACCCCACCCAUAUGGUUGGGUUUCCUCAGCCACUCUGGGCGGCUUCCAACAAAAGAUUAAAAAUACAUUAAAACAUCAGCCAUUAAAAACUUCCCUAAACAGGGUUUAUUAAACAAUAGGGAACUACAGGACAUGGGGCCUUGGCACGUAAAGCAUGAGACUUAAUCUCAGGGGUAUUGGUUUGAGCCCUAUGUUGGGCAAACGAUUCCUGCAUUGUAGGAGAAUGGACUAAAUAACUCUUGUGGUGUGGUCCCUUCCAGCUCUACAAUUCUAAGAUUCCUCAGAAAAUCCCCAGAACUCUACUCAAAGACUGCCCUUCCACCUCCUAGGGCAGUGCCUACAGGACAAAAGGGGUUGUGCUCUGGGCACUCUAAAGGGGACUUCAAUACUCAAAUUAUAUAAGGGGUCAGUGAAUUAUAAUGUGAAUGGAGGUGAUUCAGGGUGAUUUUGCUGGAAGUUAAAAGCUUCAUUUAACUUUUUAGUUUUAUUUCUUUAAAAACCAAUAUGGGAUGGGGGCUUCCCGGAGCUCUUUAACACCUUUUUAUUGUUAUGCUUUUUGGAGGAUGGCCCUUUCCAGUAGAUAUGAAGUGGCUAAUGCUAUGCUAAGAAUAUGUGUAAGAAGGAAAACACAGGAAUCUCUGAAAGUUGCUAUAUUUUGCUUCUCCCAGUUCCUCCAGUAUAAAAUGUUGGUAUAACUAUUUUGAUUAAUAUGCUCUUUUAAAAAAUAUGUUUACUGUACAGUUUAAUGAUUGGUGUUCAGAUGACAUUGAUUUACUGUGCAUUGUAAUUACAUGCGGCUAUAUCGUAUCAUGGUGACGCGGGUGGCGCUGUGGGUAAAACCUCAGUGCCUAGGACUUGGUCGGCGGUUUGAAUCCCCGCGGCGGGGUGCGCUCCCGCUGCUCGGUCGCAGCGCCUGCCAACCUAGCAGUUUGAAAGCACCCCCGGGUGCAAGUAGAUAAAUAGGGACCGCUUACCAGCGGGAAGGUAAACGGUGUUUCCGUGUGCGGCUCUGACUCGCCAGAGUAGCUUCGUCAUGCUGGCUACGUGACCCGGAAGUGUCUGCGGACAGCGCUGGCUCCCGGCCUCUAGAGUGAGAUGAGCGCACAACCCUAUAGUCUGUCAAGACUGGCCCGUACGGGCAGGGGUACCUUUACCUUUAUAUCGUAUCAUUGGUUUUGUACUUAAGUCAUUUGGGCGAAUAAUGCCAGCACUGAUCAUGUGUAUGUGGAUACACAUACAAACACAUUUUUAUAGAUAUUUGUUCUAAACCAUUUAAAUGCUUGGGAUCCGCACAAGGAGGAAUCAUCAGAGUUGAUAACUGUGCCCUCAUUCAAGUUAGGAUUCCACUGACCAGUUAAACAGGAAUUGUUUUAAUCGACCAAAGUGAGAACCAAGUUGAAAUGGAAUGCAUAUAAGAAUUUAAGGACAGAUGUUUGCUCAAGCAAGUAGACAUCACCAAUUUCUUAUAAAAUCCCUCCCACCAGCAUUUCAAAUGAACUGCAUACACAAGCAGAAAAAACAAAAUAUGCACUCAUGUUCUUUUACUUUUUUCUGCUGAUUAGUUGUUCCCUGGUGUUCAACUCAGGUCUGAAUAUAAUAAUGUAGCAUUUAGGGGAAAAGAUGCAACCCAGUAAUCCAGCACCAGACGACAAGAUGGAAAAGAUCUCCACAGCUACCAUAUAUUUUCCUUUGGUGCUCAGAUAAGUGGAAACAAAGGACAACCAAACACUACAAAACACCAGCAGGCUGAAAGUGAUAAAUUUGGUCUCAUUGAAACUGUCAGGUAACUUCCUGGCAAGGAAAGCCAAGAUGAAGCUGACAAUGGCCAGCAAACCCAUAUAGACUAAGACACCAUAAAACAUGGCCACUGAACCCUCAUUACAUUCAAGUAUGAUUUCGCCAUGCAGUGAGUGCAUAUCUGUAUCUGGGAAUGGAGGGGAUGUACUUAACCAAAGAGUACCUAUGCAAGCCUGAAUAAAGGAGCAGAAAAGGACAAUAGCAUUUGCCAGCCUUUUCCCUAUCCAUUUCCUCAUCCUGGAUCCUGGUUUGGUUGCCAUGAAUGCCAGAAGCACAGUAAUGGUUUUUGCCAAAACACUGGAAAGGGCCACAGAAAAGAUGAUGCUAAAAGUGAUUUGUCGGAGAAGGCAGGUCACCUUUCCAGGCUGUCCAAUGAAGAGAAAGGAGCAGAGGAAACAAAGCAGGAGGGAGAUGAGGAGGAUAUAGGUGAGAGUCCGAUUGUUGGCUUUGACUAUGGGAGUGUUAUUGUGCUUUAUAAAAGUCCCAAGUACUAAUGUUGUGAUCAGAGAGAAGAUAAUGGUCAAGAUAAUGGUCAAGAGUCCUAAAUCUUCUUUAUAAGAGAGGUAGCUUGGGACCUUGGGAAUGCAUUGGGUUUGGCCACUCUUGGGAUACUCAUCUUCUGGACAUUUCACACAGGUAUCCAUAUCUAAAAUAAAAGAAGAUCUCUUUAAAUAUUUCUGACAUUGAUCAAUAUAUAGCUAAAGCAUUGGUUCUUAAACUUUUCCGGGUUAUAGACCUCCUUAAGGAUCAUAGAAGCUGUAUUGCAGGUUAUCAAAUUGGAGAAAACAUAUUGGUGAAAUUAUCCUCAAAAUGUAGGUUUGUGUAAAAUAAACUCCAAGACUAAGUUUCCACGAGUGCAGGCUUUUCAGUGUUUCUGAGGAACAAAUGUUCCACAAUGAGUGCUCACAUCUGAUAUUGGAUAUGCAGAAAGAUUAUAAAAAUCUAUUAAAUGAAACAAUAUUAAAAGCACAGUAUUAUUUUGAAAUGCCAGAAGGUGCACUAGGAAAAGGUUAUUUUGGAUAUCGGAAAUGGAAAGUUCUUGGAAUGACGGUCAGUGACUAUGGAACUACCUGGAAAGGCAUUGUGGCGUUUGCCCUCCUAGGUGUGUGACAUCAUACUGGGUUCAUAAGGAAAGAGUUAACUAAUUGUAAAAUGACUAACCAAUGGGAACCCAAGCUUGGAGUUAAGAGUUACAGUUAGAGUUGUUGAGAAGACAGUCUGGAGUUAGAAGAGACAGAGAGGAUAAGUCUGUGGGUUGGGCUAGUCUGAUGUAAGCGAGUGAGAGAUUUUGUUAAGAGGAGUCAGUCAAUCAGUUGAGAUAAUCAGUCAGAAGGUAUUAGAAAGGUAUAGGCCGGUAAAGAAACUAGAGUUAAGAUACUAACAGGAAUAUUAUCUGAGAAAUCAUAAACUUGUUAAUGUUUAUAAAAUAAACUUGUUUUUUUGGUUCACAUUUUAACAACUGUCUGGACUCAGUGUUUUACCGGAGAGUAAGGGGUUGGUGGCAGCAGGAAAGUGAGCACAGUGGUGGCACAGGGAUCAAUAGACCAUUCAACGUCCGGGGACCCUUUGUGAUCGCCACAGGCAUCCUUACACCAACCCUUUGAGGUUGCUUAGACUGAGAGAUAGUGAUGAACACAAAUUUACUCAGUCCCACACUCUUUGAAACUCUUAAAAAUUAAUAGUUAUGUUUUUAAUUUUUGUUUAAAAUUUUGCAUUGCAAGAUACCUCCAUAUGCAUUCAAGAGGUUACACUUAAUGGUGUAACUCCCACCUUUAUACUUAGAUAUCAUCCCUUCUGGACAUGGAGUACAAUCAUAGCAGCAAAAUUUCUCUCCUUCCUUCUUUCUCCUACUGUACCCAGGAUAGCAGUAGUCAUUGCACACAGAAAGUGGAAGCACCUGUACAGAAACACUAAAGAGAGGUUAGUAAUGAGAGCAUAAGAGAUCACACACAAAAGCAGGUUUGGAGAAGAAAGGACAACUCCCAACUUAGAGCAGGGAGGGUUCACCUCUCUGGUGUUGUCUAGUUAAGAUUUACGUGUGGAGAGGACUUUGUAUGUUUCAUUUUCUGUUCCAGUUUUUUGUUUUUGUUUUCAUUGGCUAGAUUGUGUCCUUGAACUUUUAUAUUGCCACCUCACUGCAACUACAGAGAGAUGUAUGUUUGGUAGUGUACAUAGAACCUAUAGUUUUGAAAUAGGUGGAUAUACCUCCCUAAAAUAUGGAAAUAUCUAUUAAAAUGAAAAGGGUCCAUUAAAGUUAAUACAGUGAUGCCUCGGGUUACAUACGCUUCAGGUUACAUACGCUUCAGGUUACACACUCCGCUAACCCAAAAAUAGUGCUUCAGGUUAAGAACUUUGCUUCAGGAUAAGAACAGAAAUAGGGCUCCGGCGGCAUGGCAGCAGCAGGAGGCCCCGUUAGCUAAAGUGGUGUUUCAGGUUAAGAACAGUUUCAGGUAAAAACGGACCUCCAGAAUGAAUUAAGUACUUAACCUGAGGAACCACUGUAUGUAGCCCCUUAACCCGAAAUCUAUUCAUGAAAUAAACAAUUUAUUUAUUAGGGGAGAUGUAAAAAGAGCAUAUAAUAGGAAUUCAUGAAAAUUUGAACUAGAAUAUAAUAAUUUUUUCACAAAGGUUAAUGAAAUAAUAAAACAUCCUGUGGGAUUUCACAAAAAAUAAAGUUGGAAUGUAGUUAGAUGCCUUCAAAUCCUUUGAAAUUUUUAGUGAAAACAUUCCACAGAACUGUGUCUCACCUGAUUAAAAACUUUAUGCCACACAAUUUGAUCAUUAUUUAUGCUUAACUCUUUUCCUAAAGGUGCACGAGGGUCCAAUUUUCCAACUUUGAUCCUAAACAACGAACCAUUCGGAGAAAUAAUCCAGUUUGUUACAUCAAAACCUGUAACUAAUUCUCCAUUAUAAUCAAAACACACUAAAGCCCCAGCACUAUUGUUGAACAACAUGGUCCUUAGAAAAUGAUGGACCUAGAUAGAAAGAAAGUAUCAACAAAGCAACGACUGUUUCAAAAUACUUCAACAAUGUAUGCGGCCACUUCAUCUAUUGGGCACUCAUGUCUUAUUAUUGAACUGUAAACCUUAAAUGAUUAUUUGAUAUUUAUAAUAAUCAUUAUUUUCCAUAUGCACCAAGUUGGUGGGUGACUAUGAACUGAAAUAACAAUAUUUUAUCAUGGGAUCACUACUACUUAUCAUAAUGGAUUUCCAAAAGGGGAAAAACCUGAGAGGAAAUGCAAACCACCACAGGCACACAAAUUGUAUCAUGCACACUUAGAAUUCAUUGUGCUUCUUGAAGAACACAUAGUUUUUUAAAAAAAUGUUUGGUUGUAAUUACCUGCCAUGAUUGCACAUUCUGAAAAACAGUUCCUGUCGUUCUCCCAGCUUCCUACCUUUGGAACUGGAUUUGUAAACGGCUUGCAAAGCAUGAGCCACAGCAUAGACAGCAUUGUAGACAUUGUAGCUGUGGCCAGUCAUUUCCAUUUCAAACAAGGUCCCAGGAAGACUCUCCACCUUCUCUCCUCCAGAGCAGUAUUUCCUUUCCUGAUGAUGCCCAUUAGCCAUUUGUAAUGAACAGUUGAAUGCCUGUUCCCAAAAGUCCUGGAUAAAACCGUCUCCUUGGGCCCAUGAAGGUCUUAGCAUCUGAAGGAAAUUUUGGAAUCCCAAUGGCUGAUCUGAGUGAAGUGUGAAGGAUAUGGAACCAUGGAAGGUUUGUAAAUCCCAAAUCUUUUGAAUAGAGUGUGAUGCAAAAUCCCAGUGGGAUGUAAUAAUCCACACUUUACCCAGAGGGGGCAAGUUCACCAAGGGUAUAACAAAAAAUAGUGUUCUUAGAACUUGAAAGGAUGGAGGUUCCCCAUAUACAAAGAAUACAUUGGCUUUUGUUUCAAACAUAAUGAGAUAGGUAUCCAUGUUCUUUAAAAACCAGUCUAGCAUCUCAUCCAUAUAACUCCAUUUUGGUAUGUUUACUAUGAAGUCAUAACAGAUGCCAUUCUGGGUAAGCAUUGGCACUAUUGUCUGUAAAAACCUGUUCCCUUUGUCAUCAUCCACUGCAAAAAGCCCGACCCAGGUCCAUCUGAAAUGCUGAAGUAACUGCACAAUUCCCCUGUGCUGCUGGGCUUCAUUGGGGACCAUCUGGUACAAGAAUGGGAAUAGCAUUCUUGUACUUUGUAAGGGUAAAAAAGAUCCAUAAGUGAGCUGUAAUAAAAUCCAUGAAUAUUUCUCAGAUGGAUUACAAGAGAAUAGUAAAUCAAUAUGUUUCAGUUGGUCCUGUAAGCAAUCUAGUUCAAUAUCCUUUUGAAAGCCAGAAUCACAGUUUCUGCAACAAAUGGCUGUUUGAUUUGUCCUAUCAUUGAAGUAAUUUUACUUCAGUUGUUGAAUCUUAAACAAGUACCACAUUUGGGGCAGCACAAAAUGAAUCUUUGACCUCUUCUGUGUGGCAACUGUUUAAGUCUUUGAAGUGUUUUGCAAUGUUGCACCUUGAACUCAUUUUCAAGAGACGCAUUUCUUUCACCCUUUCCUAUAUGAUAUGCUUUCCAUAUUCUGGCCAUAUUUACUGGCCUCCUAUUAACCCAUUUUGAAAUUAAUGCAUUCUUAUUUAAGUGUGCCAAUUAGGACGGGAAACAGUAUUCAACAUGUGGCCUUAACUAGUGCAAAAGGAAGCAUAAUUGAAAUUUUUGGAGAUUUGAAAACAAUGGGUUGUAUCCAGUUAAAUGUACAUCCAGUUAGUUGUGUUGAAUAAUUUGACUGAGUUCAUUUUAAGAAUAUUAGUAUUGAAUCCAGCUCCUUGGUUCUUUCAAUUCAGCCUAAACUUUAAUUUAUCUGUUUACAGGCACAUCACAAAGCUCACAUAUAUCUAAUGUUCAUACCCCUAUGCACAUAGAUUACCUGUGGAGUCUUGUAAAUUGCUGAAACGGUGGCCACAUUGGCAGAGAUUCCAGAGAGGCAUCCUCCAACAAUAGCUAUCAGUUUGUUCUGAUUUUGACACUUGAAGUUAGGAGAAAAUCUUUGCUGUUUUGAAAGCAGGCUUAGAGUGGCCUUAUAGGUCAUCCUAGCAGAGUAGUAGCUAUUGAGAAUGUGGAAUCCCAGAGAAAUGUUUGGUAAGAUGUUGGGGUUCUCAUUUAUCUCUUUUACAGCAAAGGCUAAGGCCAGGAUGUGCUGGUAGUUCUUGGGCACUGAACUGUAAUGUAGGUUACAGCUAUUUAAUAAAACAACAGUGACAAAAGCAAUAAAAACACAUUUGUAUUCUUCAU